UGGGGGGUGGCCUUUAGCUUUGCAGUUGCAGCUCUCCUCACCCUGGCUGUGCGCCCAGGACCUUCCCCGGAGGCAGAAAAAGCCUCUGAGUUUGCUCAGAAUCUGUUGCAAGGAAAGGUGGGCUCUGUCUUGCUGUACAUUUGGUGGGUCUCACCCUUGAGGUGGAUCAGCUUUAAGAAGAGUGACAGGUCACUAGAGGAUUUCUUUACUACUUGGGGCUUUCCGAGAAGCGUCUGUGCUUCGGUAGUUUUGGUCUUAUAAAAGUUUCCCACCUGCAGUAGAGUUUAUAAUUACUUAAGAGCUUUUUAUAAAUGAACUCGAUUUCCUUUGCACUCAGGAUAAUUUACAGAGUCAUCAGUCACUUCACUGCAGCUGGGAGCUUCACACGAACCCUGCAAACACACUUUGAAAAUGAAACCGAGUGUAAGUGGGAGCAAGGAAGCAUGCCUUUGAGGGAAAUAGAAAUGACUGUCCAGCAAAUGGUGCCUCCUGUGUAUCUGCUGAUAGGUAGAAACCCUUGACAGUUUUUGGAAAAAGGAAAAUCUUAAAUCAUUCACCAAGAUUAUGUGCAUCUCAUAAAUGAACUGAUAAAGAUUCCAGCUGAAAAGGAUCAUUCCGGUCUAAACCUCAUUAAAACACCCCUAGAUGAUUUAUUUAACAUAAAAGCACUGGAAGGCAUGCCUUUCUGCCCUCCCUUCUCCCCUCUUCCACCCCUUAACAUGUUACCAACAUUAUUUCUGCUUGCGAAUUUUUUGGUCGGCAUGGAUGGCACCUCAAAUCACAUAAGUUAAACUAAAUCACAUACAGGGCAAACAAAAACGACUGCACUUCCCAAUUUCAAGGACGUGACUUGAACGUGAACUAGACAUUUGUCUUCCUAAAACCCAGGAAACCUGAAGAUUCUAGAAGGAAUCCAAAGGUACCCUCCCCCCCCCAGUGGUCUCCUUCCUUUGAUGUAAUCCCUGGCACGUGUCUCUGACCUCCAUUUCUGUUAGAACUUUGCUCCUUAGCCUCAGGGCUCUCUACCUGCCUCUGCUCCAUGACUUUAUAUCCGUGAUUGCCCUUGGGAAGGAGAAUCUUCUUUCAAAAUUGCACCUGGGCAUUUUAAAGUAAAAAUGAUGCAAAUGCUUAAGUUGGCCGAGGAAUUAACUUCGGAGUGAAGAAUGACUAGAAUAACUGGGAGAUGAAACAGGAAGCCCUAUGACACACUUGCUCGAAAAUGACACAGGCACAGAAAAAUCAGGACUCAGCCCCUCCAGCACCUCCACCUGCUGCCCACAGCUGGAGUGCAGGGGACAAGUUGGGCCUGGGACCUGAUUCCGACGGCCAGGGACUCCAAGGGCCUCCGAGUUUGCUGAUGAUGUGUCUGCGACAUUGUGGUUGGGGUCUAGUCUGGGCAGUUUUCUACUGAUCUGGCCAGUCUCUGUGUCCUAAUCCCCUUCUCUUCAUUAAAAGCAUAACUAAAGAAA
Sus scrofa (pig) is the source of this 1469-nucleotide non-coding RNA. NCBI's taxonomy places the organism in Eukaryota, Metazoa, Chordata, Mammalia, Artiodactyla, Suidae. The record is from RefSeq and is a predicted model, not a curated record.